This 1507-nucleotide ribosomal RNA is filed under the name uncultured Lactobacillus sp. RNAcentral describes it as "bacterial SSU rRNA". It matches the Rfam family "Bacterial small subunit ribosomal RNA". The record is from RNAcentral. Lineage: Bacteria; Bacillati; Bacillota; Bacilli; Lactobacillales; Lactobacillaceae.
UUAGAGUUCUGAUCAUGGCUCAGGAUGAACGCUGGCGGCGUGCUUAACACAUGCAAGUCGAACGAGCUUAUUCAUUACGAUUCCCUUCGGGGAUGACGAUCUAUAAGCGAGUGGCGGACGGGUGAGUAACGCGUGGAUAACCUGCCAUAUGCUGGGGGAUAACAGCUGGAAACAGCUGCUAAUACCGCAUGAUACUAUCGGAUCACAUGGUCUGAUAGCCAAAGCUCCGGCGGUAUAUGAUGGAUCCGCGUCUGAUUAGGCAGUUGGCGGGGUAACGGCCCACCAAACCGACGAUCAGUAGCCGACCUGAGAGGGUGACCGGCCACAUUGGGACUGAGACACGGCCCAGACUCCUACGGGAGGCAGCAGUGGGGAAUAUUGCACAAUGGAGGAAACUCUGAUGCAGCGACGCCGCGUGAGCGAUGAAGUAUUUCGGUAUGUAAAGCUCUAUCAGCAGGGAAGAAAGAAAUGACGGUACCUGAGUAAGAAGCACCGGCUAAAUACGUGCCAGCAGCCGCGGUAAUACGUAUGGUGCAAGCGUUAUCCGGAUUUACUGGGUGUUACUGGGAGUGUAGGCGGCCUGAUAAGUCCGAUGUGAAAACCCGCGGCUCAACUGCGGGAUUGCAUUGGAAACUGUUAAGCUGGAGUAUCGGAGAGGCAAGUGGAAUUCCUGGUGUAGCGGUGAAAUGCGUAGAUAUCAGGAGGAACACCAGUGGCGAAGGCGGCUUGCUGGACGACAACUGACGCUGAGGCUCGAAAGCAUGGGGAGCAAACAGGAUUAGAUACCCUGGUAGUCCAUGCCGUAAACGAUGAGUGCUAGGUGUUGGAGGGUUUCCGCCCUUCAGUGCCGCAGCUAACGCAUUAAGCACUCCGCCUGGGGAGUACGACCGCAAGGGUUGAAACUCAAAGGAAUUGACGGGGGCCCGCACAAGCGGUGGAGCAUGUGGUUUAAUUCGAAGCUACGCGAAAAACUUACCAGGUCUUGACAUCUUGCGCCACCCCAAAAAUAGGGCGUUUCCUUUCGGGAACGCAAUGACAGGGGGUGCAUGGUCGUCGUCAGCUCGUGUCGUGAAUGGUGGGUUAAGUCCCGCAACGAGCGCAACCCCUUGUUACUAGUUGCCAACAUUCAGUUGGGCACUCUAGUGAGACUGCCGGUGACAAACCGGAGGAAGGUGGGGACGACGUCAGAUCAUCAUGCCCCUUAUGACCUGGGCUACACACGUGCUACAAUGGACGGUACAACGAGUCGCGAACUCGCGAGGGCAAGCUAAUCUCUUAAAGUACGUCUCAGUUCGGAUUGUAGUCUGCAACUCGACUACAUGAAGUCGGAAUCGCUAGUAAUCGCGGAUCAGCACGCCGCGGUGAAUACGUUCCCGGGUCUUGUACACACCGCCCGUCACACCAUGGGAGUUUGUAAUGCCCAAAGCCGGUGGCCUAACCUUUUAGGAAGGAGCCGUCUAAGGCAGGACAGAUGACUGGGGUGAAGUCGAAACAAGGUAGCCGUAAU